AAAAGCUGCAGGUUGAAUCCGAGUUCUUUCAUAUCCUGGAUGCUAGAAAAUCAUAGGGAGGAGUCUUAAACAUUAAAAAAAAGGGGUGACUCAAUGCACAAAGCAUCCCACACUUAUGGGCUCUGGGGAGUCUUAAACAUUGUUUUAACAAAAAUGUGGUAGUGGUUCUUUGUGAAAUAUGAAUAUAAUUGACCAAUUCUAUGUGCAGAAUUAGAA
RNAcentral lists this unclassified non-coding RNA (216 nucleotides) under Hevea brasiliensis (rubber tree). Lineage: Eukaryota; Viridiplantae; Streptophyta; Magnoliopsida; Malpighiales; Euphorbiaceae. The record is from RNAcentral.